CUCUCAUGGGCAGCCAGGGUGAAAGCCCCUGUCAGUCACGCUGUGGGAGACACGGAGGGCCAGCCCAGGACAAGGGCCUGCUGCACAGAUGUCGCUGAACAUUCUCUGGGGUCUCCCUUUCAACCAAUUUUAAUCCCACUGAGAUGAAGAGCAAACAUGGGAAUGACUGAGAUAGGAUGACUUUGUGACGAUCUUGAUAGAGAGGUUGGGACUGUAAAGCUGUUGAUGGUCUUGGGCCACACUGCCGUCUUUGCAUCUCCAAGGCUUUUAUUGUUCCCACUCCCAUUCGGUUUUGACAGCAAGACAUUUUCAAAUUCCAGAAAUGCUGACGGACCUCCAGCGUUUCCAUGUUUCUCCCACCCAAAGAAUGUCAAGAUAAGCUUAAUGUGAUUAUAAUGAGACUCCAAUGCCCAACAAGCAUAGUUUGGGAAAGAGAUUUCUUUCAGUACUGGGAAAUAAGCUUUAAUCUGACAGGUUAAAAAAAAGUUCCUGUGACUUAAUAAUGCAAAUAGCACUGUGCUUUCUGAGUGUGACUAUAAAAGAAUUUAAUUACCUCCUAUUGUGUCAAGCUGUGGAUUAACUUCAAUUUUCAGAAGAUCCCAGGAUGCUGGAGUCAGGGUUUGAACUCCUGAGAAAAGUAAAUGGUAACCCUUAAACUACCACUGCGUAGGAAUCCUAUUGUCCCGCUGCAUAGCAACCAGUCCCGGUAGGAGGAUAUCCUACUUCGGAUAAAAUGAAGUGUCCAGAAAGUGGGAACAGCCUUAACACCAGCUUGUGUAAAAACUAUAUGAAUAUUUAAAAUGUUUAGCAUCUGAUCAAAUAACAGACUCCCGAAGAUUAGCUCUAAACCUUAGGUAAGUAGUAGAGCGGUCAGUACAUUUCAUAAUCACUUUCAGGCAGAACUCAAUUGGGGUAGACCUUUCAAUUCAUGGAAUCAGCUGCCAGUUCCCCAUUUAGGAACUCCAUUUGGCCUGGGUGAGCUAACUAUGAAGCCCUUGUUACUCCCUGGUGUCACACAGCGCCAGCUUAUGUCUUAGGGGCAAUGCUGAUGUGAGGACAUGUGAGUAGAGCCCCACAAAUCAGGGAUGUGGUGACAAGAACUGCCCAGUGGGGCAGCUAAAAGAGAAGGGUCCAGUGGGGAUGCAUUAUGGGCAACGCAGAAGGUAGCUGUGCACAAAGACACCAGAGUCUUCACCCGGCGCCACUGCAGGGAGCCCCCUAAACCCAGAAAAGAACUUGUUCCUAAACACAAUCAGAUUUACAAGGAAAUGAAUCUUGGAGAGCAUCUCCCCAGGGCCUUUGGCCUCCACCAGCUGGGACACUCACAUUCCCAGAAGGAGGAUGCCUACCUCCUCGGUGGGAUUUCCC
RNAcentral lists this long non-coding RNA (1368 nucleotides) under Callithrix jacchus (white-tufted-ear marmoset). RNAcentral describes it as "lncRNA (ENSCJAG00000071366.1)". Lineage: Eukaryota; Metazoa; Chordata; Mammalia; Primates; Cebidae. The record is from RNAcentral.